GACGAACGCUGGCGGCGUGCUUAACACAUGCAAGUCGAACGGAAAGGCCCUGCUAUUGUGGGGUGCUCGAGUGGCGAACGGGUGCGUAACACGUGUGUAACCUGCUCUUGAUUUUGGGAUAACUUAAGGAAACUGGGGCUAAUAUCGGAUAGGAGCUCCCGCUGCAUGGUGGGGGUUGGAACGUUUCGGCGGGUGGGGAUGGACUCGCGGAUUAUCAACUUGUUGGUGGGGGAGUGGCAUACCGAGGGUUUGACGGGUAGCCGGCCUGUGAGGGUGACCGGCCACAUGGGUACUGAGAUACGGCGCAGAGUCCUACGGGAGGCAGCAGGGGGGAAUAUGGCACAAUGGUCGGGAGCGUGAGGCAGCAACGCCGCGUGCGGGAUGACGGCCUUCGGGUUGAAAACCGCUUUCGCCUGUGACGAAGCUUGUGUGGCGGUAAUGAAUAAAGAAGCACCGGCUAACUACGUG
Molecule: ribosomal RNA, 468 nt
Filed under: uncultured bacterium
Lineage: Bacteria
Description: partial 16S ribosomal RNA
Rfam family: Bacterial small subunit ribosomal RNA
Source: RNAcentral